RNAcentral lists this ribosomal RNA (253 nucleotides) under uncultured bacterium. RNAcentral's name for it is "partial 16S ribosomal RNA". It matches the Rfam family "Bacterial small subunit ribosomal RNA", at positions 524 to 776 of the family's 1533-position model. The record is from RNAcentral.
UACGAAGGGGGCUAGCGUUGCUCGGAAUCACUGGGCGUAAAGCGCACGUAGGCGGAUCGCUAAGUCAGGGGUGAAAUCCUGGAGCUCAACUCCAGAACUGCCUUUGAUACUGGCAAUCUCGAGUCCGGGAGAGGUGAGUGGAACUGCGAGUGUAGAGGUGAAAUUCGUAGAUAUUCGGAAGAACACCAGUGGCGAAGGCGGCUCACUGGCCCGGUACUGACGCUGAUGUGCGAAAGCGUGGGGAGCAAACAGG